UCAGAAACAAGGAUUUGGGCACGUUCACGGUCCGAGUAAAUGGGGCUCUGAGGAUCAUAGUGGCAUGCAAACCUUUCAUAAUGUCUUCCUGAAACAUUAAACAAGAGGUACAACGGCCAACCUAGAGUAAGUGUUACUAGAAGUGUGAGGACUCUACCAGGUGGAUUAUUAAGGUACUUGGCAAAAGAUCUGAGUUCAGCCUUGUGCUUAGGAACGAAGACCUCAUCCUUCUCAAGCGAACCAGUAUUAGAGUGGUGGCGACGAUGACUAUACUUCCAGGAAAAGUAUGGAACAAGGAGAGAUGAAUGGAGGAUAAGGCCAACAGUGUCAUCAAGCCAUUGAUAAUUGCUGAAGGCGUGAUGGCCACAUUCAUGGGCUAUGACCCAAACUCCAGUUAAGAAACAGCCUUGAACGAAACCAUAGAUUGCCCAGGCCACAUAAGAGAAAGGAUGGGGGAGGAGGUGUAUGUAAUUGGUGGCAAUGUAGUAAAGGAUGGAGGCAAUAGUCAGGUCGUAAACAACAUAAGAGAAAGAACGGAUGACAGAUCGCUGAAAACAAUGUGGUGGAAUGGCCUUUUUGAUGUCUCCAACAGUAAAUGGAGGUUUUGCGACUGGAACUCGUUCAAGAACUUCCUCUUGUGACUUUUUAACCUUAGGAUC
RNAcentral lists this long non-coding RNA (659 nucleotides) under Daucus carota (carrot). RNAcentral's name for it is "long non-coding RNA (DCAR_LNC004656)". The record is from RNAcentral. Lineage: Eukaryota; Viridiplantae; Streptophyta; Magnoliopsida; Apiales; Apiaceae.